Long non-coding RNA from Tyto alba (common barn owl), 511 nucleotides. RefSeq lists it as uncharacterized. Lineage: Eukaryota; Metazoa; Chordata; Aves; Strigiformes; Tytonidae. The record is from RefSeq and is a predicted model, not a curated record. The transcript has 2 exons.
AACUACAGGAGCAGCCAGGACUCUGGGUGCCCUUUACUCAUGGCCAUCCAAGCUUCAGACAGUCAAAGACACCUGGAGACUCUUUACAAAUCGUGGUUAUAAUGUCUAUCAUGGAUAAGCCACCAUGUGAGUCAGUCAUACCAAUCUACAGGUUCAAGGCAGACAAAGUGGAUGAGGAGUGCUGGCUACCAUACAGAUCAUAUGACCCACUGCAAACCCAGAGGUUCAGCAGGUCUAUGGUUGGUGUUUCCAUUGAAAUAAGGAAGUUUGUUGAGGGAAAAAGAAGAUGAGGAGAGGAGGAAGCACAGGACUUCUUGGCUUUGAUGUUCAAAGGAAUGAGCAGAUCCUCUUCAUGGGCAUAAACUGAACUACAAGAGCUAUGUUAACACUUACCUUGGCUCGGCUGUCCUGGGAACAGCAGACUGCAGCAUCCCAAAACUGACAUCUGCGCAUCUGUGUUGCCCUAAUGACCAGGUUGCACUGCAAAUCUCAUCUGCUGCUGUGGAAGGUA